RNAcentral lists this ribosomal RNA (274 nucleotides) under uncultured bacterium. RNAcentral describes it as "partial 16S ribosomal RNA". It matches the Rfam family "Bacterial small subunit ribosomal RNA", at positions 523 to 796 of the family's 1533-position model. The record is from RNAcentral.
CUACGGAGGGUGCAAGCGUUAUUCGGAAUCACUGGGCGUAAAGGACGCGUAGGCGGGUUGGCAAGUCAGAUGUGAAAUCCUACAGCUUAACUGUAGAACUGCAUUUGAAACUGCUAACCUAGAGUAUGGGAGGGGGAGAUGGAAUUAGUGGUGUAGGGGUAAAAUCCGUAGAUAUCACUAGGAAUACCGAAAGCGAUGGCGAUCUCCUGGAACAUAACUGACGCUAAGGCGUGAAAGCGUGGGGAGCAAACAGGAUUAGAAACCCCAGUAGUCC